This 444-nucleotide ribosomal RNA is filed under the name uncultured bacterium. RNAcentral's name for it is "SSU rRNA". It matches the Rfam family "Bacterial small subunit ribosomal RNA", at positions 26 to 518 of the family's 1533-position model. The record is from RNAcentral.
AGAGCGAACGCUGGCGGCAGGCUUAACACAUGCAAGUCGAGCGCCCCGCAAGGGGAGCGGCAGACGGGUGAGUAACGCGUGGGAACGUACCUUUUGGUUCGGAACAACACAGGGAAACUUGUGCUAAUACCGGAUAAGCCCUUACGGGGAAAGAUUUAUCGCCGAAAGAUCGGCCCGCGUCUGAUUAGCUAGUUGGUGAGGUAACGGCUCACCAAGGCGACGAUCAGUAGCUGGUCUGAGAGGAUGAUCAGCCACAUUGGGACUGAGACACGGCCCAAACUCCUACGGGAGGCAGCAGUGGGGAAUAUUGGACAAUGGGCGCAAGCCUGAUCCAGCCAUGCCGCGUGAGUGAUGAAGGCCCUAGGGUUGUAAAGCUCUUUUAACGGGGAAGAUAAUGACGGUACCCGUAGAAUAAGCCCGGACUAACUUCGUGCCAGCAGCCGC